This 393-nucleotide transfer-messenger RNA is filed under the name Endomicrobiaceae. RNAcentral's name for it is "RUG658 sp900321055 Standard tmRNA". It matches the Rfam family "transfer-messenger RNA". From Rfam's summary of the family: Bacterial tmRNA, also known as 10Sa RNA or SsrA, is named for its dual tRNA and mRNA-like properties. Its role is to liberate the mRNA from a stalled ribosome. To accomplish this part of the tmRNA is used as a reading frame that ends in a translation stop signal. Lineage: Bacteria; Pseudomonadati; Elusimicrobiota; Endomicrobiia; Endomicrobiales. The record is from RNAcentral. RNAcentral also lists the same sequence under 1 other name.
GGGGGUGAGUUGGGUUCGACGGGAAUGAAAGAUGUACAGAUAGCAAGUCCGAGUUGAUCGAUGGCUCGGUUACAAAUCGAUCAAAAAAGAAACGACAAACAAAUCGUUCCUAACAGCAUGAUCAGACCGGUUAUGCCGGCAUUCAUGCCAAUAGCUGCUUAAUUGUCAGCUACGGUUUACCUUUGAUACCUGCUAUUAGGAUAAACCGACAAGAGCGGGUUAGUAUUAAUUUGCUUGUUCCGUCAGGUUAAUAUGAAAUUUUAACGGUACUGGUUUAUAAGACAAUUCCGUCUGGUAACGGUUUUAUAAACGAGAUAUAUUUUCCAGACUAAACUUGUAGUGAUCUUACUGAAACUUUUUCGGACGCGGGUUCAAUUCCCGCCACCUCCACCA